Molecule: ribosomal RNA, 253 nt
Filed under: uncultured bacterium
Lineage: Bacteria
Description: partial 16S ribosomal RNA
Rfam family: Bacterial small subunit ribosomal RNA
Source: RNAcentral
UACGAAGGGGGCUAGCGUUGCUCGGAUUGACUGGGCGUAAAGAGCUCGUAGGCGGUUUGUCGCGUCUGCUGUGAAAUCCCGAGGCUCAACCUCGGGCUUGCAGUGGGUACGGGCAGACUAGAGUGCGGUAGGGGAGACUGGAAUUCCUGGUGUAGCGGUGGAAUGCGCAGAUAUCAGGAGGAACACCGAUGGCGAAGGCAGGUCUCUGGGCCGCAACUGACGCUGAGGAGCGAAAGCAUGGGGAGCGAACAGG